This 2442-nucleotide long non-coding RNA is filed under the name Homo sapiens (human). Its description in RNAcentral is "HSALNT0299210". Lineage: Eukaryota; Metazoa; Chordata; Mammalia; Primates; Hominidae. The record is from RNAcentral.
GCCACCAUUGAAAACAGAAUGUGAACUACUGUCCAGAAGCCCUCUGUGAACUUCAGGUCUGCCUUAGGAGGGACGCUUCCAGCGAGGGAGCGCGUGAUGAAGUCUGCAGGCAUUGCUGGGGCAACGCUAAGUGGCCGCUGGCCAGGGUAGAAGUUAAACCAGGAGAUGGCUGUCAAAUGCAGUUGUUAGGUGUGGCACAUCUUUCUCAAGCUGCUGAGCUGAGCAGGAAAGAGAGACGUUUGUUUAUGGAUUUAUCUCAUCUAUAAGACACUCUUAUUAGAUGAACUCUAUAUCAGUUCUAUGUAGAACUCUGUACCAGUUCUAUAAGGCACUCUUUAAUCUGAAUCUUUUUAUUUGCUCAAGAGAAAAAUAAGUCUGACUUGCAUCCCAUUGAAGAUUUAGAUUGCACUGUUUACAUCUUUCACCUGCGCCGCGGUAGCGUCCUCUACCGAUGCUAUCCUACGUUGAUUUUUCCAGCAACCUGGGAAGCAACCUCAUAGGUGGUUUGGGAUGUCUUUUGGCUGUGCUUAAAAAUUUCCAACAGAUUUGCUACACAUCUUAGGAUAAAUAUGUUUCCUGUGAAUUGUGAUGAUUUCUUACAGUACAUUUGCAAGCAUGUGUAUGCAUCUGCAGGAAACAUAGCCUGGCUCUGUGAAGGAAUACUGCUGUGACCGCAAAACUGUUUCUGUAGAAUUUUCUCCGGUGUGGUCAUCCUGCCUUCAGGAGGAAAAUAGAGCAAAAAGGUAGAACUUACUUCCACACCCAAGUUUCUCCUGAAAGCACUGUGCCUGUUUUGUUUGCUACACAUCUUGGGUAUGUAUGUUUGCAUCUAUGCAUGCAGGCAUGCAUGAGUUAUUUAUGUGUGUUAUUUGGUCCAGCCUUGAAGCUCCUUUUAUUUUUCAGUGAAUUGAAAGAAGGUAACCUUUGGAUGUAUAUAUUUUAGUGCUCCAGCAGAUUACCAGUGAAACAUGCCGACUCUCACCAAACCACCCCAUGUUGCCAAAUCUUCUCUCUUGGCCCUGAUGAUGUGCAACUUAAAACCAAGGUCCAGGUUGACUGCACAGCAGAGUUUACUGUUCGCUCUCUCGCUCUCUCUCCUCUCUCUUUUUUUCUGUAAGCCCAAUAAAUCUGCCCUAUCACGUCAUUGAGGCCACAAGGAAAUGUAAUCCUGCCAAGUGUGGGAGUUAACAAAAACUGCCAAAGUCUUAAGGUUGCAGAGAGAGCAAGAACCACUUUCUGGGUUACGCAUGUCUACUGUGUAUGUGCAGGGGUGCCAUGUGUAUGUACCGCGUGUGUGUGUGGGUACUGUGUGUGUGCAUGGAUGCUAUGUGGAUUCACCAUGCACUACCAUGUGUGCAUGAGCACCAUGUGUGUACACUGAGAGUGUAUGUGGCUAGCAGGUGUGUGUACUCUGUGUACCUGAGCACUGUGCGUACCUGUGCACUGAGCCUAUAUAUGGGCAUGUGUUUAUAGCAUGUAUGCAUGUGUGCUAUGUGUAUAUACCAUGCACUUGCACACAUAUACUGUGUGUGCAGCACACCAGAUGCCACAGAUAUGGUGGCGGGAGGGUCAAUGACAGGGAACUGGGGGGAGGCAGGUGUGAGGCAGGCCUGCUUGGGAACAGGUAAAUCACUUAAGGAUGCAGUGCUUUUCAUCUGCUUUGCUGCUCUUUUCCUCUUAAGCAGCAUGCGCUGAGAUUGCAGAAACCUGAAAGAUAGGGAAAGUGUGUAUCCCAUCUCCCCUUCCUGCCUGACUCUCAAGUAAGUUUUCUUUAAGUAUCUUUUUUCUUCAGCUUCAGGAAAAAGAGGACCUUAGAACUGAAGGAGCAAGAUUCCAACAUCACACUGUUUUUGUUAGCUGUGUGUGUGUGUUUCCUGUGUAUCCAAAAGACAGAGGAGAUGAAAAAGCAAAAGAAAAGAAACGAGGAAUCAGAUUGGAAAGAAGGUUUCUCCAGGACGUCACCUGUAUGAGGUACACAGUGUGAUGACACACUCUGUGCUUUUCCUACUUGUGUCCACGGCUCAAGCCUGGAAGAAGCCUUAGGACGUGGGGGAAAUGUCUAACGUGGAGUCCACCUGCUGAGCAGGACCGGGUGUGAAGGAAGAAGCUUUGUUCUGAUUCCUCAUGGCCCAGCCACCCCUCGCCUGAGCUGAGCCUGGCCACAGGGCCCGCCUGCAGGAAGGGCUGGCCCAUGGCUUCACACUGGGCUCAGGCUGCGCUAAGAGCCCCGGGUGAGGACCUCCAAGCCCAGGAAGCCUCAGUUGGCCAAAGUGCUAGAUGCGUGUGGUCUGCUUUCAUCCCCGCUUCCCUCAGAGCUUGCAUUUUCCAAAUUCAAGAGAGGCUCCACCUUCAAGAAGACCGGCCUGUCCCUGUUAUUUAUGUGUCCCCCUACCAUAUCUCCCUUUGUUCUGCAGAGCGGUACGCAUAAAAAGCUUUUGGGGA